GUCCACGCCGUAACGAUGAAUGCUAGCCGUUGGCAGCUUGCUGUUCAGUGGCGCAGCUAACGCAUUAAGCAUUCCGCCUGGGAGUACGGCCGCAAGGUUGAACUCAAAGGAAUUGACGGGGCCCGCACAAGCGGUGGAGCAUGUGGUUUAAUUCGACGCAACGCGCAGAACCUUACCAGGGUUUGACAUCCUGCGACCGCCCUCUAAUAGGGGUUUUCCCGCAAGGGACGCAGAGACAGGUGCUGCAUGGCUGUCGU
This 257-nucleotide ribosomal RNA is filed under the name uncultured bacterium. RNAcentral describes it as "partial 16S ribosomal RNA". It matches the Rfam family "Bacterial small subunit ribosomal RNA", at positions 793 to 1055 of the family's 1533-position model. The record is from RNAcentral.